This 779-nucleotide ribosomal RNA is filed under the name uncultured Neocallimastigales. RNAcentral's name for it is "partial large subunit ribosomal RNA". It matches the Rfam family "Eukaryotic large subunit ribosomal RNA", at positions 18 to 634 of the family's 3401-position model. The record is from RNAcentral. Lineage: Eukaryota; Fungi; Neocallimastigomycota; Neocallimastigomycetes; Neocallimastigales.
UUCAGACGAUGCGUCAUGCAUAUCAAUAAGCGGAGGAAAAGAAACUAACAAGGAUUCCCUUAGUAACGGCGAGUGAAGCGGGAAGAGCUCAAAUUUGAAAUCUUCAAGGUUUUACCUUGACGAAUUGUAGUUUAAAGAAGUGUUUUCUGUUGAAGUUUUGGUAAAAGUUCUUUGGAAUAGGACAUCAUAGAGGGUGAGAAUCCCGUAUUUGACCAUUAUUUUCAGCUGUGUGAUACACUUUCAAAGAGUCGGAUUGUUUGGGAAUGCAGUCCAAAAUGGGUGGUAAAUUUCAUCUAAAGCUAAAUAUUGGCGAGAGACCGAUAGCGAACAAGUACCGUGAGGGAAAGAUGAAAAGAACUUUGAAAAGAGAGUUAAACAGUACGUGAAAUUGUCAAAAGGGAAGCGUUUGACACCAGUGUUGUUUUCUCGAAAAUCAAUUAAAAAGAGUUGGAUUUUGUGUUGUAUUGACUUUAUCAGCCUUCUGCACUUUUUUCUUGUCUUUAUUAAUGCACUUUUCGUUUAACAAGUCAACAUCAAUUUCUUUUGUUGUAAAAGGGUCAUUGGAAGGUGGCUUUCUUUUCGGAGAAAGUGUUUAUAGCCUUUGGCCUCUGCAAUCGGAGAGAUUGAGGUCUGCAGCGUAGAUCCUUCGGGGUUAGAUACAUUUGUGCUAAGUUAUAGCCUUUUCAUAGACAACUUGUUGACUAUGAUUAGGUCAUUGUAGCUUACUCGCUUAGUGCUAUUUUACCUACGCUUAGGAUGUUGAUAUGCAUGACUGAUAU